This 490-nucleotide ribosomal RNA is filed under the name uncultured bacterium. RNAcentral describes it as "bacterial SSU rRNA". It matches the Rfam family "Bacterial small subunit ribosomal RNA", at positions 28 to 512 of the family's 1533-position model. The record is from RNAcentral.
GAUGAACGCUAGCGGCAGGCUUAACACAUGCAAGUCGAGGGGUAUAGUUCUUCGGAACUAGAGACCGGCGCACGGGUGCGUAACGCGUAUGCAAUCUACCUUUUGCAGAGGGAUAGCCCAGAGAAAUUUGGAUUAAUACCUCAUAGUAUGUGAGAAUGGCAUCAUUUUCACAUUAAAGUCACAACGGCAAAAGAUGAGCAUGCGUCCCAUUAGCUAGUUGGUAAGGUAACGGCUUACCAAGGCAACGAUGGGUAGGGGUCCUGAGAGGGAGAUCCCCCACACUGGUACUGAGACACGGACCAGACUCCUACGGGAGGCAGCAGUGAGGAAUAUUGGACAAUGGGCGCAAGCCUGAUCCAGCCCAUGCCGCGUGCAGGAUGACGGUCCUAUGGAUUGUAAAACUGCUUUUGUACAGGGAAGAAACACUCCCUCGUGAGGGGAGCUUGACGGUACUGUAAAGAAUAAGGGAUCGGGCUAACUCCGUGCCAGC